GGACGGCGGCAUGCUAAUACAUGCAAGUCGAGCGGACAGAAGGGAGCUUGCUCCCGGAUGUUAGCGGCCCCAUGGGUGAGUAACACGUGGGUAACCUGCCUGUAAGACUGGGAUAACUCCGGGAAACCGGAGCUAAUACCGGAUAGUUCCUUGAACCGCAUGGUUCAAGGAUGAAAGACGGUUUCGGCUGUCACUUACAGAUGGACCCGCGGCGCAUUAGCUAGUUGGUGAGGUAACGGCUCACCAAGGCGACGAUGCGUAGCCGACCUGAGAGGGUGAUCGGCCACACUGGGACUGAGACACGGCCCAGACUCCUACGGGAGGCAGCAGUAGGGAAUCUUCCGCAAUGGACGAAAGUCUGACGGAGCAACGCCGCGUGAGUGAUGAAGGUUUUCGGAUCGUAAAGCUCUGUUGUUAGGGAAGAACAAGUGCAAGAGUAACUGCUUGCACCUUGACGGUACCUAACCAGAAAGCCACGGCUAACUACGUGCCAGCAGCCGCGGUAAUACGUAGGUGGCAAGCGUUGUCCGGAAUUAUUGGGCGUAAAGGGCUCGCAGGCGGUUUCUUAAGUCUGAUGUGAAAGCCCCCGGCUCAACCGGGGAGGGUCAUUGGAAACUGGGAAACUUGAGUGCAGAAGAGGAGAGUGGAAUUCCACGUGUAGCGGUGAAAUGCGUAGAGAUGUGGAGGAACACCAGUGGCGAAGGCGACUCUCUGGUCUGUAACUGACGCUGAGGAGCGAAAGCGUGGGGAGCGAACAGGAUUAGAUACCCUGGGUAGUCC
This 780-nucleotide ribosomal RNA is filed under the name Bacillus pumilus. RNAcentral describes it as "bacterial SSU rRNA". It matches the Rfam family "Bacterial small subunit ribosomal RNA", at positions 31 to 796 of the family's 1533-position model. Lineage: Bacteria; Bacillati; Bacillota; Bacilli; Caryophanales; Bacillaceae. The record is from RNAcentral.